UACGGAGGGUGCAAGCGUUAUCCGGAUUCACUGGGUUUAAAGGGUGCGUAGGCGGGCAUGUAAGUCCGUGGUGAAAUCUCCGAGCUUAACUCGGAAACUGCCAUGGAUACUAUGUGUCUUGAAUGUUGUGGAGGUGAGCGGAAUAUGUCAUGUAGCGGUGAAAUGCUUAGAUAUGACAUAGAACACCAAUUGCGAAGGCAGCUUGCUACACAAUCAUUGACACUGAGGCACGAAAGCGUGGGGAUCAAACAGG
This 253-nucleotide ribosomal RNA is filed under the name uncultured bacterium. RNAcentral's name for it is "partial 16S ribosomal RNA". It matches the Rfam family "Bacterial small subunit ribosomal RNA", at positions 524 to 776 of the family's 1533-position model. The record is from RNAcentral.